GCGGGAGUAACUCAGUUGGUAGAGUUCGUGCCUUCCAAGCACGCAGUCGCGGGUUCGAGUCCCGUCUCCCGCUCCA
Molecule: transfer RNA, 76 nt
Filed under: Chloroflexota bacterium
Lineage: Bacteria; Bacillati; Chloroflexota
Description: Chloroflexi bacterium (bioreactor metagenome) tRNA-Gly
Rfam family: tRNA
About the family: Transfer RNA (tRNA) molecules are approximately 80 nucleotides in length. Their secondary structure includes four short double-helical elements and three loops (D, anti-codon, and T loops). Further hydrogen bonds mediate the characteristic L-shaped molecular structure. tRNAs have two regions of fundamental functional importance: the anti-codon, which is responsible for specific mRNA codon recognition, and the 3' end, to which the tRNAs corresponding amino acid is attached (by aminoacyl-tRNA synthetases). tRNAs cope with the degeneracy of the genetic code in two manners: having more than one tRNA (with a specific anti-codon) for a particular amino acid; and 'wobble' base-pairing, i.e. permitting non-standard base-pairing at the 3rd anti-codon position.
Source: RNAcentral